RNAcentral lists this transfer RNA (72 nucleotides) under Marmota monax (woodchuck). RNAcentral's name for it is "tRNA.Arg". The record is from RNAcentral. Lineage: Eukaryota; Metazoa; Chordata; Mammalia; Rodentia; Sciuridae.
CUGGGGCUAUAACUUAGUUGGUAGAGUGCCUGCCUCCUACCUAAGGCCCUGGGUUCAAUCCCCAGCACCAGG